CAGCACCUCAAGUGGUCAGGAUGAUUAUUGGGCCUAAAGCAUCCGUAGCCGGCUCUGUAAGUUUUCGGUUAAAUCUGUAUGCUCAACAUACAGGCUGCCGGGAAUACUGCAGAGCUAGGGAGUGGGAGAGGUAGACGGUACUCGGUAGGAAGGGGUAAAAUCCUUUGAUCUAUUGAUGACCACCUGUGGCGAAGGCGGUCUACCAGAACACGUCCGACGGUGAGGGAUGAAAGCCAGGGGAGCAAUCCGGAUUAGAUACCCGAGUAGUCA
Molecule: ribosomal RNA, 270 nt
Filed under: uncultured archaeon
Lineage: Archaea
Description: partial 16S ribosomal RNA
Rfam family: Archaeal small subunit ribosomal RNA
Source: RNAcentral